CGGAGGGGGCAAGCGUUGUUCGGAAUUACUGGGCGUAAAGGGCGCGCAGGCGGCUGCUCAAGUCAAGCGUGAAAGGCCUGGGCUCAACCCGGGAAUUGCGCUUGAGACUGGGCUGGCUUGAGUGCGGGAGAGGAUGGUGGAAUUCCCAGUGUAGAGGUGAAAUUCGUAGAUAUUGGGAAGAACACCGGUGGCGAAGGCGGCCAUCUGGACCGCAACUGACGCUGAGGCGCGAAAGCGUGGGGAGCAAACAGGAUUAGAUACCCUGGUAGUCCACGCCGUAAACGAUGAGUGCUAGACGUUGGGAGGCCUAGCCUUCCAGUGUCGCAGCUAACGCAUUAAGCACUCCGCCUGGGGAGUACGGCCGCAAGGUUA
RNAcentral lists this ribosomal RNA (372 nucleotides) under uncultured organism. Its description in RNAcentral is "bacterial SSU rRNA". It matches the Rfam family "Bacterial small subunit ribosomal RNA", at positions 526 to 896 of the family's 1533-position model. The record is from RNAcentral.